GAAUACUCAAGUAAUCAAGUAAUGGAGCACAACCAUGACCA
Molecule: small RNA, 41 nt
Filed under: Propionibacterium australiense
Lineage: Bacteria; Bacillati; Actinomycetota; Actinomycetes; Propionibacteriales; Propionibacteriaceae
Description: CRISPR_Spacer
Source: RNAcentral